GAUGAACGCUGGCGGCGUGCCUAAUACAUGCAAGUCGAGCGAACGGACGAGAAGCUUGCUUUUCUGAUGUUAGCGGCGGACGGGUGAGUAACACGUGGAUAACCUACCUAUAAGACUGGGAUAACUUCGGGAAACCGGAGCUAAUACCGGAUAAUAUUUUGAACCGCAUGGUUCAAAAGUGAAAGACGGUUUUGCUGUCACUUAUAGAUGGAUCCGCGCUGCAUUAGCUAGUUGGUAAGGUAACGGCUUACCAAGGCAACGAUGCAUAGCCGACCUGAGAGGGUGAUCGGCCACACUGGAACUGAGACACGGUCCAGACUCCUACGGGAGGCAGCAGUAGGGAAUCUUCCGCAAUGGGCGAAAGCCUGACGGAGCAACGCCGCGUGAGUGAUGAAGGUCUUCGGAUCGUAAAACUCUGUUAUUAGGGAAGAACAUAUGUGUAAGUAACUGUGCACGUCUUGACGGUACCUAAUCAGAAAGCCACGGCUAACUACGUG
This 497-nucleotide ribosomal RNA is filed under the name uncultured bacterium. RNAcentral describes it as "partial 16S ribosomal RNA". It matches the Rfam family "Bacterial small subunit ribosomal RNA", at positions 28 to 507 of the family's 1533-position model. The record is from RNAcentral.